CACGGAGUUAGCCGAUGCUUAUUCGUACUGUACUUGCAAGAAAGGACACGUCCUCUUUUUUACCCCAGUACAAAAGAAGUUUACAACCCAUAGGGCAGUCAUCCUUCACGCGACUUGGCUGGUUCAGGCUCUCGCCCAUUGACCAAUAUUCCUCACUGCUGCCUCCCGUAGGAGUCUGGUCCGUGUCUCAGUACCAGUGUGGGGGAUAAACCUCUCAGUUCCCCUAUCCAUCGUUGCUUUGGUGAGCCGUUACCUCACCAACUGGCUAAUGGAACGCAUGCCCAUCUACUACCAAUUAAUCUUUAACAAUAUCACAUGCGGUGCCCCUGUAUUAUGCGGCAUUAAUCCGUAAUUUCUUCGGGCUUACUUCCCCUGUAGUUAGGUAGGUU
Molecule: ribosomal RNA, 389 nt
Filed under: uncultured Dysgonomonas sp.
Lineage: Bacteria; Pseudomonadati; Bacteroidota; Bacteroidia; Bacteroidales; Dysgonomonadaceae
Description: partial 16S ribosomal RNA
Source: RNAcentral